AAUUAGACAUCGAAAAGAACAGUAACUCAUUUUUUUACGUUUAGAGAAUCUCUGGUUGGUGAAAAGAGAUCGUGGGAAUGUAGUGAAACACAUCUUGGAGUCGGUUUUUUGAAUCAAGUAGGAAAAUCCGGGAGGCCCGUUAUAGCCCCAGUCAUUUAUUGAUGACUUACGAAGAUUUACUUCUGUGAAGAGUAAAUGAAAAAAGGUGGAACCGCGUCAUAUACGUCCUUUAG
RNAcentral lists this non-coding RNA (233 nucleotides) under Enterococcus aquimarinus. Its description in RNAcentral is "T-box sequence". It matches the Rfam family "T-box leader". From Rfam's summary of the family: Uncharged tRNA acts as the effector for transcription antitermination of genes in the T-box leader family. T-boxes are found upstream of many aminoacyl-tRNA synthetase genes and some amino acid biosynthetic genes usually in Gram-positive bacteria. Lineage: Bacteria; Bacillati; Bacillota; Bacilli; Lactobacillales; Enterococcaceae. The record is from RNAcentral.